RNAcentral lists this RNase P RNA (307 nucleotides) under Polaribacter sp. BM10. Its description in RNAcentral is "RNase P RNA component class A". It matches the Rfam family "Bacterial RNase P class A". Rfam says of the family: Ribonuclease P (RNase P) is a ubiquitous endoribonuclease, found in archaea, bacteria and eukarya as well as chloroplasts and mitochondria. RNAcentral also lists the same sequence under 3 other names. The record is from RNAcentral. Lineage: Bacteria; Pseudomonadati; Bacteroidota; Flavobacteriia; Flavobacteriales; Flavobacteriaceae.
AAAGCAGGCUUAUCUUAUCGUCUUAAUUUAAUUAAGAAGGAAAGUCCGGACACCAAAGAGUAUCAUAGCGGAUAACAUCCGUCCAGCGUAAGUUGAGGACAAGUGCAACAGAAAGCAAGUACAGUUCGGCUGUAGUGAAACCAGGUAAACUCUAUGAGGUGCAAUGUCAUGUAUAUUAGAACUUGAGAGCUACUCGCUCGAUUCUAAAGGGUAGACAGAUUGAUUCUAAGAGUAAUUUUAGAACUAGAUAAAUGAUAAGAGCCUUAUUUAUAAGGAACAGAAUUCGGCUUAUUAGCCUGCUUUUUUU